Molecule: long non-coding RNA, 438 nt
Organism: Apis florea (little honeybee)
Lineage: Eukaryota; Metazoa; Arthropoda; Insecta; Hymenoptera; Apidae
Source: RefSeq, a predicted model, not a curated record
AUAUAUUAUAUAUAUUAUAUAACGAUAUAUAUAUAUAUAUAUAUUAUAUAAAUAUAUAAAUAAAUAAAUAUAUAAAUAUAUAUAAAGAAAAAGGAUGAGAGUGAGAAAUAUUGUGUACAUGUGCGAGUGAACGAGAGAGAGAGAGAAUAAAAGGAUGCAAAGGGAGAAAUUAUGUGAAAAUUCUGUGAAUGUGUCGCGUUGAAAAUGUUGUUAGGUGAAUUAUGAAAAAGAAGAAUUAAAAAUAAAUAAAGAUAUUGUAAAUGUUAUUACACACGUUGUACUGUACGUAAAACGAGUUAAAUGGGCAACAAAAAGAACAAAAAAAAAAAGAAGGAAGAAAUAAUUGCGAAAGAAGAAGCUAAGAGAUGAUGCUAAUGUAUAAGAAGAAAAAUUAAUGUAGUUACAAAAAUGAAAUAAACGAUACGACGAUUACUACGA